RNAcentral lists this ribosomal RNA (254 nucleotides) under uncultured bacterium. Its description in RNAcentral is "partial 16S ribosomal RNA". It matches the Rfam family "Bacterial small subunit ribosomal RNA", at positions 524 to 776 of the family's 1533-position model. The record is from RNAcentral.
UACGUAGGGUGCAAGCGUUGUCCGGAAUCAUUGGGCGUAAAGAGCUCGUAGGCGGCUUAGUAAGUCGGGUGUGAAAACUCUAGGCUCAACCUAGAGACGCCACCCGAUACUGCUAUAGCUAGAAUCCAGUAGGGGAGUGUGGAAUUCCCAGUGUAGCGGUGAAAUGCGCAGAUAUUGGGAGGAACACCAGCGGCGAAGGCGGCACUCUGGGCUGGUAUUGACGCUGAGGAGCGAAAGCGUGGGUAGCGAACAGG